AGAACUAACUUCUGUACCUUUUGCAUAAUGAAUUAACUAGAAAUAGUUUCGCAAAGAGAACUAAAGCCAAACCCCCCGAAAUCAGACGAGCUACCCAAAAACAGCUAAAAGAGCGCACCCGUCUAUGUAGCAAAAUAGUGGGAAGAUUUAUGGGUAGAGGUGACAAGCCUACCGAGCCUGAUGAUAGCUGGUUAUCCAAGAUAGAAUCUUAGUUCAACCUUGAGCUUACCUACAGAACCACUUAAUCCUUUUGUAAGCUCAAUUGCUAGUCUAAAGAGGGACAGCUCUUUAGACACUAGGAAAAAACCUUACAUAGAGAGUAAAAAGCAUAACCACCAUAGUUGGCCCAAAAGCAGCCAUCAAUUAAGAAAGCGUUCAAGCUCAACAUCAACCAUCCGAAAAAUACCAAACAUAAAACUGAACUCCUCAUCUCACAUUGGAUCAAUCUAUCAUUUCAUAGAAGCAAUAAUGUUAGU
This 476-nucleotide non-coding RNA is filed under the name Chlorocebus sabaeus (green monkey). RNAcentral's name for it is "Bacterial large subunit ribosomal RNA". It matches the Rfam family "Bacterial large subunit ribosomal RNA", at positions 588 to 1268 of the family's 2925-position model. Lineage: Eukaryota; Metazoa; Chordata; Mammalia; Primates; Cercopithecidae. The record is from Rfam by way of RNAcentral.